UUGGACAUAGUGCAAUGGAUAACACGGCCUCGUGAUCUCUCCCAUGGUUCCGGGAUGAGAGGCAGAUCAAGGUUCGAUUCCUUGUGUUCGCA
Molecule: non-coding RNA, 92 nt
Organism: Mycena polygramma
Lineage: Eukaryota; Fungi; Basidiomycota; Agaricomycetes; Agaricales; Mycenaceae
Source: the annotation of a GenBank genome assembly